RNAcentral lists this ribosomal RNA (503 nucleotides) under uncultured bacterium. RNAcentral's name for it is "bacterial SSU rRNA". It matches the Rfam family "Bacterial small subunit ribosomal RNA", at positions 29 to 507 of the family's 1533-position model. The record is from RNAcentral.
AAUGAACGCUGGCGGCGUGCCUAACACAUGCAAGUUGAGCGGUAAGGCCCCUUCGGGGGUACACGAGCAGCGAACGGGUGAGUAUCGCGUGGGUAAUCUACCUAGAGGUGGGGGAUAGCCUCGGGAAACCGAGGGGUAAUACCGCAUGAGUCCUCGAUGACAUAAGUCGACGAGGGGAAAGCGGGGCUCCUUCGGGACCUGUCGCCUCUGGAUGAGCCCGCGUCCGAUUAGCUAGUUGGUGAGGUAAUGGCUCACCAAGGCAACGAUCGGUAGCCGGCCUGAGAGGGUGAACGGCCACAUUGGGACUGAGACACGGCCCAGACUCCUACGGGAGGCAGCAGUGGGGAAUUUUGGGCAAUGGGGGAAACCCUGACCCAGCGACGCCGCGUGGAGGAUGACGGCCUUCGGGUUGUAAACUCCUGUCAGGUGGGAAGAAAAGCCAGUCGGAUAAUACCCGGCAGGAAUUGACGGUACCACCAAAGGAAGCCCCGGCUAACUCCGUG